AUUGAACGCUGGCGGCAUGCCUUACACAUGCAAGUCGAACGGCAGCACGGGAGCAAUCCUGGUGGCGAGUGGCGAACGGGUGAGUAAUAUAUCGGAACGUGCCCAGUCGUGGGGAUAACGUAGCGAAAGCUACGCUAAUACCGCAUACGAUCUAUGGAUGAAAGCGGGGGAUCGCAAGACCUCGCGUGAUUGGAGCGGCCGAUAUCAGAUUAGGUAGUUGGUGAGGUAAAGGCUCACCAAGCCGACGAUCUGUAGCUGGUCUGAGAGGACGACCAGCCACACUGGGACUGAGACACGGCCCAGACUCCUACGGGAGGCAGCAGUGGGGAAUUUUGGACAAUGGGCGCAAGCCUGAUCCAGCAAUGCCGCGUGCAGGAUGAAGGCCUUCGGUUGGUU
This 396-nucleotide ribosomal RNA is filed under the name uncultured bacterium. RNAcentral describes it as "bacterial SSU rRNA". It matches the Rfam family "Bacterial small subunit ribosomal RNA", at positions 30 to 427 of the family's 1533-position model. The record is from RNAcentral.